GCUUUCGUAGCUCAAUCGGUAGAGCGUAGGUCUCAUAAUCCUAAGGUCGCGCGUUCGAGUCCCGCCGAAAGCA
Non-coding RNA from Trichomonas vaginalis G3, 73 nucleotides. NCBI's taxonomy places the organism in Eukaryota, Parabasalia, Trichomonadida, Trichomonadidae. The record is from Rfam.